RNAcentral lists this long non-coding RNA (710 nucleotides) under Neogobius melanostomus (round goby). RNAcentral describes it as "lncRNA (ENSNMLG00000010891.1)". The record is from RNAcentral. Lineage: Eukaryota; Metazoa; Chordata; Actinopteri; Gobiiformes; Gobiidae.
CAUAGACUGUAUAUUUUUGGCCACCACCUAAAAUUGGCGCUGUUUAGUCCCAUUGUCAGAAACGAAGAAGAAUUCAAACAGGCGGAAGGCGGAGACAGGAGAAAGGCACCGGCGUAUCUGGUCCUGGACACAACUUUGAACGGUGAAUAAUGGUGUCAGAGGAGAAGGAGCAAGAGGUGGCGUGGAGGGAGCUGCGCAGGAGGAAGAGGAUGGAGGAGGUGGAGGAGCUGACCACUGCGGGACACAACGCUCUGUAAUCGGGACCAACCCAGGAGGCGCUACCGUUUCAGAGGAUCAAAGGAGACUGAAGGCAGCCCGCCAGGUUUCCACGCAGCGGCUUAGGACUAAUUCUACAUCUGGACCUUAAGGACGGCUCUGAAGGACCAUGUGCACGGUGGGAAUGGAGCAUGGGACAGACCUUUGCCAAUCAAAGGAAACAGGUGGAGAGGGGUCACCUGCCAGCCCAAGUAUUGGAGACAGUGAUGGCAGCCAAGGACUAAUGCCUCCUCUAUGAGGAGGUAAUCUACCUGCUGGACUCCCUGCUUCGGACAUUCCUACAGAAGGGUGUGUAUGGCAUCACCACACCAUAUGAUGUGUUGACUGCAAGGGUGAAAGAACUCCUGGGACUUAUCAAAGCGAUUUGAAGAAAAAAAAAGGGGGAUUGCCUGAUAUGUAAAUGAACUGUGGAAGUUGUUGAGAUUGUUUAAAUC